GGGAUUAGUGGGGAGGGUGAGUAACGCGUGAGAAUCUGCUUCAUCGAACAGCUGGAAACGGCUGCUAAUACCGGAUGUGCGAGGUGAAAGCUUAGUGCUGAGAUGAGCUCGCGUCUGAUUACUAGUAGAGUGGUACGGCACCCUAGCGACGAUCAGUAGCUUGGUCUUGAGAGGAUGAUCAGCCACACUGGAACUGAGACACGGUCCAGACACCUACGGGUG
RNAcentral lists this ribosomal RNA (222 nucleotides) under uncultured cyanobacterium. RNAcentral's name for it is "partial 16S ribosomal RNA". It matches the Rfam family "Bacterial small subunit ribosomal RNA", at positions 104 to 347 of the family's 1533-position model. The record is from RNAcentral. Lineage: Bacteria; Bacillati; Cyanobacteriota.